Molecule: ribosomal RNA, 306 nt
Filed under: uncultured bacterium
Lineage: Bacteria
Description: partial 16S ribosomal RNA
Rfam family: Bacterial small subunit ribosomal RNA
Source: RNAcentral
GACAGCAGCCGCCGCGGUAAUACAGAGGGUGCGAGCGUUAAUCGGAUUUACUGGGCGUAAAGCGUGCGUAGGCGGCUUCUUAAGUCGGAUGUGAAAUCCCUGAGCUUAACUUAGGAAUUGCAUUCGAUACUGGGAAGCUAGAGUAUGGGAGAGGAUGGUAGAAUUCCAGGUGUAGCGGUAAAAUGCGUAGAGAUCUGGAGGAAUACCGAUGGCGAAGGCAGCCAUCUGGCCUAAUACUGACGCUGAGGUACGAAAGCAUGGGGAGCAAACAGGAUUAGAUACCCCAGUAGUCCCUGUCUCUUAUAC